Molecule: ribosomal RNA, 469 nt
Filed under: uncultured bacterium
Lineage: Bacteria
Description: partial 16S ribosomal RNA
Rfam family: Bacterial small subunit ribosomal RNA (bases 13-374)
Source: RNAcentral
GACGAACGCUGGCGGCGUGCUUAACACAUGCAAGUCGAACGGAAAGGCCCUGCUUUUGUGGGGUGCUCGAGUGGCGAACGGGUGAGUAACACGUGAGUAACCUGCCCUUGACUUUGGGAUAACUUCAGGAAACUGGGGCUAAUACCGGAUAGGAGCUCCUGCUGCAUGGUGGGGGUUGGAAAGUUUCGGCGGUUGGGGAUGGACUCGCGGCUUAUCAGCUUGUUGGUGGGGUAGUGGCUUACCAAGGCUUUGACGGGUAGCCGGCCUGAGAGGGGGACCGGGCAAAGUGGGGCAGUGAAGAGGGCCAGACCUCCACCGGGGGCAGAAGCGGGGAAUGUGUGACAAUGGGGCGGAGCCAGGGGGCAGCAACGCCGGGUGGGGGGUGAGGCCUAGGGGUGAUGAGCCGGAUGGCGCGUGCGACGGGAGGGGAGGGAGGGAAGUGGGAAAAGAAGCACCGACAAGCUACGAG